GAUGAACGCUGGCGGCGUGCCUAAUACAUGCAAGUCGAGCGAACAGACGAGGCGCUUGCUCCUCUGACGUUAGCGGCGGACGGGUGAGUAACACGUGGAUAACCUACCUAUCAGACUGGGAUAACUUCGGGAAACCGGAGCUAAUACCGGAUAAUAUAUUGAACCGCAUGGUUCAAUAGUGAAAGACGGUUUUGCUGUCACUUAUAGAUGGAUCCGCGCCGCAUUAGCUAGUUGGUAAGGUAACGGCUUACCAAGGCAACGAUGCGUAGCCGACCUGAGAGGGUGAUCGGCCACACUGGAACUGAGACACGGUCCAGACUCCUACGGGAGGCAGCAGUAGGGAAUCUUCCGCAAUGGGCGAAAGCCUGACGGAGCAACGCCGCGUGAGUGAUGAAGGUCUUCGGAUCGUAAAACUCUGUUAUUAGGGAAGAACAAAUGUGUAAGUAACUAUGCACGUCUUGACGGUACCUAAUCAGAAAGCCACGGCUAACUACGUG
Molecule: ribosomal RNA, 497 nt
Filed under: uncultured bacterium
Lineage: Bacteria
Description: partial 16S ribosomal RNA
Rfam family: Bacterial small subunit ribosomal RNA
Source: RNAcentral